AUUUAAAUAGUUUAAUAAAAAUACUGAUUUGUGGUGUCAGAGAUAUAAUUUAUAUUAUUUUAGAUC
RNAcentral lists this transfer RNA (66 nucleotides) under Villa sp. RNAcentral's name for it is "tRNA-His". Lineage: Eukaryota; Metazoa; Arthropoda; Insecta; Diptera; Bombyliidae. The record is from RNAcentral.